RNAcentral lists this ribosomal RNA (1162 nucleotides) under Escherichia coli. Its description in RNAcentral is "partial 23S ribosomal RNA". It matches the Rfam family "Bacterial large subunit ribosomal RNA", at positions 1 to 1205 of the family's 2925-position model. The record is from RNAcentral. Lineage: Bacteria; Pseudomonadati; Pseudomonadota; Gammaproteobacteria; Enterobacterales; Enterobacteriaceae.
GUUAAGCGACUAAGCGUACACGGUGGAUGCCCUGGCAGUCAGAGGCGAUGAAGGACGUGCUAAUCUGCGAUAAGCGUCGGUAAGGUGAUAUGAACCGUUAUAACCGGCGAUUUCCGAAUGGGGAAACCCAGUGUGUUUCGACACACUAUCAUUAACUGAAUCCAUAGGUUAAUGAGGCGAACCGGGGGAACUGAAACAUCUAAGUACCCCGAGGAAAAGAAAUCAACCGAGAUUCCCCCAGUAGCGGCGAGCGAACGGGGAGCAGCCCAGAGCCUGAAUCAGUAUGUGUGUUAGUGGAAGCGUCUGGAAAGGCGCGCGAUACAGGGUGACAGCCCCGUACACAAAAAUGCACAUGCUGUGAGCUCGAUGAGUAGGGCGGGACACGUGGUAUCCUGUCUGAAUAUGGGGGGACCAUCCUCCAAGGCUAAAUACUCCUGACUGACCGAUAGUGAACCAGUACCGUGAGGGAAAGGCGAAAAGAACCCCGGCGAGGGGAGUGAAAAAGAACCUGAAACCGUGUACGUACAAGCAGUGGGAGCACGCUUAGGCGUGUGACUGCGUACCUUUUGUAUAAUGGGUCAGCGACUUAUAUUCUGUAGCAAGGUUAACCGAAUAGGGGAGCCGAAGGGAAACCGAGUCUUAACUGGGCGUUAAGUUGCAGGGUAUAGACCCGAAACCCGGUGAUCUAGCCAUGGGCAGGUUGAAGGUUGGGUAACACUAACUGGAGGACCGAACCGACUAAUGUUGAAAAAUUAGCGGAUGACUUGUGGCUGGGGGUGAAAGGCCAAUCAAACCGGGAGAUAGCUGGUUCUCCCCGAAAGCUAUUUAGGUAGCGCCUCGUGAAUUCAUCUCCGGGGGUAGAGCACUGUUUCGGCAAGGGGGUCAUCCCGACUUACCAACCCGAUGCAAACUGCGAAUACCGGAGAAUGUUAUCACGGGAGACACACGGCGGGUGCUAACGUCCGUCGUGAAGAGGGAAACAACCCAGACCGCCAGCUAAGGUCCCAAAGUCAUGGUUAAGUGGGAAACGAUGUGGGAAGGCCCAGACAGCCAGGAUGUUGGCUUAGAAGCAGCCAUCAUUUAAAGAAAGCGUAAUAGCUCACUGGUCGAGUCGGCCUGCGCGGAAGAUGUAACGGGGCUAAACCAUGCACCGAAGCUGCGG